UCAAACAGAUCUUGUCAGGAUGUACGGGGGGAGAUCCAACAACAGGCCUGUGAUGGCUCUAUAGUACUUCUGCAAUCACUUGCAAUGACAUUUUGCAAGUCAAGUCUGGAAGACUUACUGCAGAAGUACUAUAGAAUUGUCACUGGACAACAUCCCACUGGAAAGAUCGACCUGCCCAUUCUUCAUCGAUGUCUCAGUCCCAUCAUGAAGAAUGCCAAGGACCUCUGCAAAAAAAAGAAUGCAGAACACUACAAUUUGGCAAUGCACACCUUUGGCCUACUUGCAUGUAUUUCAAGUCUUAAAGACUUGGAUGAGGUUCUUCUCAGUACGACUGUACUCUUCUGCAGUCCUUGCACUGGGAAGAACAUUCAGAAGCACCUUGAAAACCUACAUGUCUGGAUGGAUAAAGGGGGACCUUGGAGAUAGAUGACGAACAAAUCGUCCCGGAAGACUAAAAGCUGGAUGUAGGAACCGCACCCUUGAUGAGCCACUUCCAAGAGAUCAUUGAUCAGGCACCACUUGAUCUCACUGGUGAAGUGAACACAUACCAAGCACCAAAUUUUGUUCCGUGUUUGGCAAAACAUUUCCUCCCACAUGCCACCUUGUGGUCUGGACUGAUG
Molecule: long non-coding RNA, 620 nt
Organism: Pleuronectes platessa (European plaice)
Lineage: Eukaryota; Metazoa; Chordata; Actinopteri; Pleuronectiformes; Pleuronectidae
Exons: 3
Source: RefSeq, a predicted model, not a curated record